AUCGCUUCUCGGCCUUUUGGCUAAGAUCAAGUGUAGUAUCUGUUCUUAUCAGUUUAAUAUCUGAUACGUCCUCUAUCCGCGGACAAAUAUUAAAUGGAUUUUUGGAGCGGGAGAUGGAAAUAGGAGCUGCUCGUCCAAACUCCGCGCAUGACCUGGUCUUGCAGUACCUCCAGGAACGGUGCACCCCCU
This 189-nucleotide small nuclear RNA is filed under the name Canis lupus dingo (dingo). Its description in RNAcentral is "U2 spliceosomal RNA (ENSCAFG00020017692.1)". It matches the Rfam family "U2 spliceosomal RNA". From Rfam's summary of the family: U2 is a small nuclear RNA (snRNA) component of the spliceosome (involved in pre-mRNA splicing). Complementary binding between U2 snRNA (in an area lying towards the 5' end but 3' to hairpin I) and the branchpoint sequence (BPS) of the intron results the bulging out of an unpaired adenosine, on the BPS, which initiates a nucleophilic attack at the intronic 5' splice site, thus starting the first of two transesterification reactions that mediate splicing. Lineage: Eukaryota; Metazoa; Chordata; Mammalia; Carnivora; Canidae. The record is from RNAcentral.